AGCGAACGCUGGCGGCAGGCUUAACACAUGCAAGUCGAGCGGGCGUAGCAAUACGUCCGCGGCAGACGGGUGAGUAACGCGUGGGAACGUACCUUUUGGUUCGGAACAACACAGGGAAACUUGUGCUAAUACCGGAUAAGCCCUUACGGGGAAAGAUUUAUCGCCGAAAGAUCGGCCCGCGUCUGAUUAGCUAGUUGGUGAGGUAACGGCUCACCAAGGCGACGAUCAGUAGCUGGUCUGAGAGGAUGAUCAGCCACAUUGGGACUGAGACACGGCCCAAACUCCUACGGGAGGCAGCAGUGGGGAAUAUUGGAAAAUGGGGGCAACCCUGAUCCAGCCAUGCCGCGUGAGUGAUGAAGGCCCUAGGGUUGUAAAGCUCUUUUGUGCGGGAAGAUAAUGACGGUACCGCAAGAAUAAGCCCCGGCUAACUUCGU
Molecule: ribosomal RNA, 434 nt
Filed under: uncultured bacterium
Lineage: Bacteria
Description: partial 16S ribosomal RNA
Rfam family: Bacterial small subunit ribosomal RNA
Source: RNAcentral